AGAGAAACAUCCUGCCAAGGUUCUCUGUCUCACAGAGAAUCACCAACACACAACUGUGUAACGUGCAACUGCUUCAUAUUCAGUCAGACCAGAGGCUCGAGCCUCCGCUGCCAGCAGCUGCUCGCUGUCACUGAUCCACAGCUCACUGCUCGUCAGCUCUCUGUGCACAACAGCUCUCAUACUGUAGGACGAGCAUCCUCUGUCUGUCCCCUGUCCUCUGUCCUCUGUCGGUCCUGUCCCCUGUCUGUCCUCUAUCCCCUGUCUGUCCCCUGUCUGUCCUCUGUCUAUCCUCUGUCUGUCCUGUCCUCUGUCUGUCCUGUCCUCUGUCCGUCCUCUGUCCGUCCUCUGUCCUCUGUCCGUCCUCUGUCUGUCCCCUGUCCUCUGUCCUCCGUCUGUCCUGUCCCCUGUCUGUCCUCUGUCUGUCCUGUCCUCUCUCCGUCCUCUGUCCGUCCUCUGUCCGUCGUCCGUCCUCUGUCCGUCCUCUCUCCGUCCUCUGUCCGUCCUCUGUCCUCUGUCCGUCCUCUGUCCUCUGUCCGUCCUCUGUCCGUCCUCUGUCCUCUGUCUGUCCUCUGUCCUCUGUCCGUCCUCUGUCCUCAGUCCUCUGUCCUCUGUCUGUCCUCUGUACCCUGUCUGUCCUCAGUCCUCUGUCCUCUGUCUGUCCUCUGUCCUCUGUCUGUCCUCUGUCCUCUGUCUGUCCUCUGUCUGUCCUCUGUCCUCUGUCCCCUGUCCUCAGUCCUCUGUCCUCUGUCUGUCCUCUGUCUGUCCUCUGUCCUCUGUCCUCAGUCCUCUGUCUGUCCUGUCCUCUGUCUGUCCUCUGUCCUCUGUCCUCAGUCCUCUGUCUGUCCUCUGUCCUCUGUCCCCUGUCCUCAGUCCUCUGUCCUCUGUCUGUCCUCUGUCUGUCCUCUGUCCUCUGUCCUCAGUCCUCUGUCCUCUGUCUGUCCUCUGUCUGUCCUCUGUCCUCUGUCCUCAGUCCUCAGUCCUCUGUCUGUAAAUACUGAGUACUAA
Molecule: long non-coding RNA, 1005 nt
Filed under: Cottoperca gobio
Lineage: Eukaryota; Metazoa; Chordata; Actinopteri; Perciformes; Bovichtidae
Description: lncRNA (ENSCGOG00000003656.1)
Source: RNAcentral